ACCUACGGGGGGCAGCAGUGAGGAAUAUUGGUCAAUGGCCGAGAGGCUGAACCAGCCAAGUCGCGUGAGGGAAGACGGCCCUACGGGUUGUAAACCUCUUUUGUCGGGGAGCAAAGCGAGUCACGUGUGACUCAUUGAGAGUACCCGAAGAAAAAGCAUCGGCUAACUACGUGCCAGCAGCCGCGGUAAUACGUAGGUGGCGAGCGUUAUCCGGAUUUACUGGGUGUAAAGGGCGUGUAGGCGGGAGUGCAAGUCAGAUGUGAAAACUAUGGGCUCAACCCAUAGCCUGCAUUUGAAACUGUACU
RNAcentral lists this ribosomal RNA (305 nucleotides) under uncultured bacterium. RNAcentral describes it as "bacterial SSU rRNA". It matches the Rfam family "Bacterial small subunit ribosomal RNA", at positions 337 to 639 of the family's 1533-position model. The record is from RNAcentral.